RNAcentral lists this long non-coding RNA (870 nucleotides) under Junco hyemalis (dark-eyed junco). RNAcentral's name for it is "lncRNA (ENSJHYG00000015954.1)". Lineage: Eukaryota; Metazoa; Chordata; Aves; Passeriformes; Passerellidae. The record is from RNAcentral.
CACACUGUGGGACCCCCAGUGUUGGCAAAGUUCGGGAAGGGGUUAAAUAAAUGCAGCUUCAGGGAUUGAUUUUGACACAGAUCAACCUGUGUGAGGGCAGGAAAGUAGGCCUUGCAAGGUCGGUUCCGUUCUUGGGCUCCUGGUGCUAUGACAUCACAGACAGACUGUCCCUGCCCAGUUCUGGGGUUGCUGAGCUGAGAGCACAACCAGCUCCAGCUGGCGCCAGCAGAAGAAACAUCUUCCCCCAAGAGGAAACACUGGUUAGCUGGCUCUGAGCAAAACAAACAAAAAUGGAUUCAGGGAACCAUCCUGACACCCCAAAUUCAACCAGGUGUGCUGGGAAGAAGACAUGCCGACUGCAGCCUACACAUGGCGCGACUCAAGUGCCUACACCCAGACCAGGUGACCCAUUUGACCAUCACCCUUCUGGUCCCCACACAGUUCCCAAUCCUCCUCCCCCUCCCUCAGGACUCACUUGUCGUUUCCAGGCUGUCCAAACUGCUCAGGAGAGCAGGCCCAGACUGCCCCGGCCUGCUCAGGGGUGCCAGGCCAACGGACCUGCCAUGGCGGGGCCUCUUGCCAGAACCUCCAGCAGCAGCAGAAGUAAAUCCACAGCUGAGAAACAUCAACGUAACGAUUUCCUGCUGGCUCUGUGAACAUUAAAAAUAUCUUUACCUGCAUUGUUCAGUGUUUUAGAUUUAUUCACAUAUCCAUUCUCCUGUUUAGACAUCCAGCUGAAGGGAAUAAUUCAAAGCUGGUUUAUUUUGGUGUAGCUCCGUUUCUCCCAUUUCUGGUUUCAGUUUAGGGGGGGUGGUUUGUUUAUUUUCCCAUUAACCAGGCGUAAAAUAAACAAAAGUAGCACCAGCUCCA